RNA transcript from Anopheles coustani, 946 nucleotides. It is a transcript of the gene named vesicle transport protein GOT1B, with no coding region annotated. The record is from RefSeq and is a predicted model, not a curated record. The transcript has 5 exons. NCBI's taxonomy places the organism in Eukaryota, Metazoa, Arthropoda, Insecta, Diptera, Culicidae.
GUCAUCGGUUCGGCAACUGGUGCAAGUUUUGCAGGAAAAUCUUCCUAUAAUAAAUACGAUUUCUUAGUUAUUGUAAUUGGCAAUGUGUGUUCAUACUUACUGAAACAUUCUGCACAGUUCUUACUGAAGUUUUCGAUGGAUGAUCGUUACUAUCGCGCCAUUUGAAAGCAGUAGUGGGUAGUACGAUCGGUUGCCCGCCGAAUGACGUGGAGAAAAACAGCAGGGUCAAUAAACAAGUGCUUUUCAAACUAGUGUAUUGAAGAUUUGGACACGGGUGUUACUUGAAUUAAGUGGUAAAAAUGUUUGAAAUAACAGACACACAGAAAAUCGGAGUCGGCUUGGCUGGCUUUGGCAUAGCGUUUCUAUUCCUUGGGAUGCUUUUAUUGUUCGAUAAAGGUUUACUGGCGAUAGGAAAUAUUCUUUUCGUGUGCGGCCUAGCCUGCGUGAUAGGAUUGGAACGAACGUUUCGUUUCUUCUUCCAAAAGCAUAAAGUGAAAGCAUCGAUUGCGUUUUUCGGUGGCAUUGCCAUCGUGCUGUUCGGGUAUCCGUUGAUCGGGAUGCUUAUCGAAAUGUACGGCUUCAUACUGCUCUUCAGUGGAUUCUUCCCGGUAGCCAUCAACUUCCUGCGGCGGGUACCGGUGUUAGGCAACUUCCUCAAUAUGCCCGGCAUCAGUAGGACCGUCGAUUGGUUAGCUGGCGAAUCGGACCGAACAACGGUAUGAUAGGAUUAAGGCAAGGUUCCCGUUCGAUCGUUGAUCACCGGUAGCGGGUGGAGGGAAACGCUUACACCAACUGAAAAACGAAGCGCACUAACCGGAGCAGGCAAGGGUGGAACUAAUGAAUGAUCAUGCGUGUCUAAUUAAUGUCCGGUCAUUUCUAGCACCUCUCAAAGUUGGAAAUAAAGAUCGUUCGCUAAUGAUUAAGUCCCGAAAAUAAAAAUCCAUUG